AAUCACCGGCUUUUUCAAUCAA
This 22-nucleotide microRNA is filed under the name Anopheles gambiae (African malaria mosquito). Its description in RNAcentral is "aga-miR-10366a-3p". Lineage: Eukaryota; Metazoa; Arthropoda; Insecta; Diptera; Culicidae. The record is from miRBase by way of RNAcentral.